This 455-nucleotide ribosomal RNA is filed under the name uncultured Sulfuricurvum sp. Its description in RNAcentral is "bacterial SSU rRNA". It matches the Rfam family "Bacterial small subunit ribosomal RNA", at positions 929 to 1382 of the family's 1533-position model. The record is from RNAcentral. Lineage: Bacteria; Pseudomonadati; Campylobacterota; Epsilonproteobacteria; Campylobacterales; Sulfurimonadaceae.
ACGGUGGAGCAUGUGGUUUAAUUCGAAGCAACGCGAAGAACCUUACCUGGCCUUGACAUGGUAGGAACCCUUAAGAGAUUAGGGGUGCUAGCUUGCUAGAACCUACACACAGGUGCUGCACGGCUGUCGUCAGCUCGUGUCGUGAGAUGUUGGGUUAAGUCCCGCAACGAGCGCAACCCUCGUCCUUAGUUGCUAACAGUUCGGCUGAGCACUCUAGGGAGACUGCCUUCGCAAGGAGGAGGAAGGUGAGGACGCGUCAAGUCAUCAUGGCCCUUACGGCCAGGGCUACACACGUGCUACAAUGGGGCGUACAGAGAGCUGCGAUACCGCGAGGUGGAGCCAAUCUCUUAAAGCGUCUCUCAGUUCGGAUUGUUCUCUGCAACUCGAGAACAUGAAGCUGGAAUCACUAGUAAUCGCAGAUCAGCUAUGCUGCGGUGAAUACGUUCCCGGGUCUU